UGCAAGACCUGCCUUUCGCCUUCUGCC
Molecule: non-coding RNA, 27 nt
Filed under: Homo sapiens (human)
Lineage: Eukaryota; Metazoa; Chordata; Mammalia; Primates; Hominidae
Source: RNAcentral